Molecule: non-coding RNA, 20 nt
Filed under: Rattus norvegicus (Norway rat)
Lineage: Eukaryota; Metazoa; Chordata; Mammalia; Rodentia; Muridae
Source: RNAcentral
UCUUCUGGUGGGUCUGGAGA